This is a long non-coding RNA of Physeter macrocephalus (sperm whale), 643 nucleotides long. RefSeq lists it as uncharacterized. The transcript has 3 exons. Lineage: Eukaryota; Metazoa; Chordata; Mammalia; Artiodactyla; Physeteridae. The record is from RefSeq and is a predicted model, not a curated record.
AUCUCUGCUAGGGAUAUAAAGAUAUGAGUAAUGAAUCAAUCCAAGUUCCUGUUUUCGAGAAGCUUGCAAACUUUUCAUGAGGACAGGAAAAGAGCCACAAUAAAAGAAGAAGCUUCUGCCUUAAGAGACCUGCACCCAUGGCACUGAGGAGUUUGGCAGGAAACAUUGUAUGCUCCUUCUGUAAGGACAUCCAAGAAAAAGGAAAGCCCAGGAAUUUGAAGGGGACCUGAACAGCCGGUGGUGGAAGGAGACACGUUGGUAAUGAUGCAGGUGAAGAAACCAGUUCUUCCAGCCAACCUUUUUUCUGAAAAUAGUGGUAAUGGCACCAAAUAUGCCCCACUUGAACUUUAUGAAAAAGGUGAGUAUGGGGAGAGCACCCAAAGCUUGAAUAGGACUAAAGUGACACGUAAGAGGCACCUAGGAUGCAAAAUUUAAGGUGGGUGCUGACCCUGUACCUGUAUGACCUGAGAGUGAAGGUCACCUUAAAGUUUGUGCCUGCAUUGUUUCACUCUAGUCCGUGCCAACUUUGUCCUGCAGUUUUUAGUAUCUCUGGGUUAUAAGCCACCUACAACCAGGUAUAAAGUCAGGUGACAAGAAAAACCCAUAACAAGUGUAGUUUUCUUCCAUUGAAACAUCUGGGAGA